ACCCACACGCUCCCUCAGGUACACUGAUCAUAUGGGUGAGGAAACUCUUCACAGAAUGGGCUUCCAUAAAGUAGAGGGUGUCUGGGUUAGGAAAACAUCUUCAUCCACACCAUCUGACCCUAUUACUCACCAUUCACCUAGCCCUGACCAUGACCAGGACCACUACACAGCUCCUCCCACUUUUCCAUCCACUUCUGGUCCCUCAUUC
This 208-nucleotide long non-coding RNA is filed under the name Phoenix dactylifera (date palm). RNAcentral describes it as "long non-coding RNA (PDAC_LNC013310)". The record is from RNAcentral. Lineage: Eukaryota; Viridiplantae; Streptophyta; Magnoliopsida; Arecales; Arecaceae.